This 77-nucleotide transfer RNA is filed under the name Deltaproteobacteria bacterium. RNAcentral's name for it is "tRNA-Arg". It matches the Rfam family "tRNA". Rfam says of the family: Transfer RNA (tRNA) molecules are approximately 80 nucleotides in length. Their secondary structure includes four short double-helical elements and three loops (D, anti-codon, and T loops). The record is from RNAcentral. Lineage: Bacteria; Pseudomonadati; Myxococcota; Myxococcia. RNAcentral also lists the same sequence under 1 other name.
GCGCCUGUAGCUCAGUUGGACAGAGCAACGGACUUCUAAUCCGUAGGUCGCAGGUUCGAAUCCUGCCAGGCGUACCA